This is a long non-coding RNA of Pocillopora damicornis (cauliflower coral), 437 nucleotides long. NCBI's taxonomy places the organism in Eukaryota, Metazoa, Cnidaria, Anthozoa, Scleractinia, Pocilloporidae. The record is from RefSeq and is a predicted model, not a curated record.
AAAAAUCUUUCUGUGGCUGAUUCGGGUUCAUAUUGGUGCCAGGCUGAAAAUAUCCUUGGAACUGUUCAACGUCAGACUUCGCUUAAAGUGACUACAAGGCCCAUUACACCAUCUCCUUCAGGUUCUACUGUUAGCCUGACAUCCAUCAGUUUUGAAAGUGAAGCAGUUACGCAGACGUCAAUGGGUUGGACUGAUAGAAUAAGGUACCCGGUGGCUGUAAUCGCAGUUCCAGUGGGUGUGGUCGUCCUCUUGAUCAUAGCUUCCGGUCUCUUUUAUUGGCAGGUGAAGAAAGGCCGAGCGAGCUCGUCCGCGACGAUGAAAAGCCGACACAACAUCGGUUCACUUCAAGCGAAGUACGUAGUCCAGUCAAAUGAGUACGUAAUAGUGCCAGACCUAAAAGGACUUGGGAAUGAUUUUGGCACCAACUGAUUGUAGAU